GUCUCCGGCCGUACCACCCUGAGCGUGCUUGUCGCGUCUGAUCCCAGAAGCUAGCAGGGUUGGCCCUGGUUAGAACUUGGAUGGGAGACCGCCUGGGAAUAUUGGGUAUUGUAGGCU
Molecule: ribosomal RNA, 117 nt
Filed under: Sorex araneus (European shrew)
Lineage: Eukaryota; Metazoa; Chordata; Mammalia; Eulipotyphla; Soricidae
Source: RNAcentral